AUCGAGUCUCGACCCUAGAAUUGCGUUUCUCUCGAACCUGAAAAAGAUCUCUUUUCGACAAAACCUCAUCGAUGACGCUGCCAUCGAGCCCUUCUCCGGCUGGGAAGCGUUAUCAGGCCUCGAGGAACUGGUGCUGAGGGAUAAUAAACUUACGAAAAUACCUGAUGUUAGCAUAUUCAAGAGUCUCUUGGUUUUUGAUGUUUCUUUCAAUGAAAUCGGGUCCUUGCAUGGAUUGUCCAACGUCUCCAAUACUCUGAAGGAACUCUAUGUAUCAAAAAAUGAAGUUACUAAGAUGGAGGAGAUUGACCAUCUUUAUCAGUUGCAAAUUCUGGAACUUGGUUCCAACAGAUUAAGGGUAAUGGAGAAUCUGCAUAAUUUAACAAACUUACAGGAGCUGUGGCUGGGACGGAAUCGUGUCAAAACAGUUAAUCUAUGUGGUCUGAAAUGCAU
RNAcentral lists this unclassified non-coding RNA (450 nucleotides) under Hevea brasiliensis (rubber tree). The record is from RNAcentral. Lineage: Eukaryota; Viridiplantae; Streptophyta; Magnoliopsida; Malpighiales; Euphorbiaceae.